UACCAGCACCCCGAGUGGUCGGGACGAUUAUUGGGCCUAAAGCAUCCGUAGCCGGUUCUACAAGUCUUCCGUUAAAUCCACCUGCUUAACAGAUGGGCUGCGGAGGAUACUAUAGAGCUAGGAGGCGGGAGAGGCAAGCGGUACUUAGUGGGUAGGGGUAAAAUCCGUUGAUCCAUUGAAGACCACCAGUGGCGAAGGCGGCUCGCCAGAACGCGCUCGACGGUGAGGGAUGAAAGCUGGGGGAGCAAACCGG
Molecule: ribosomal RNA, 253 nt
Filed under: uncultured bacterium
Lineage: Bacteria
Description: partial 16S ribosomal RNA
Rfam family: Archaeal small subunit ribosomal RNA
Source: RNAcentral